Molecule: long non-coding RNA, 13317 nt
Organism: Lotus japonicus
Lineage: Eukaryota; Viridiplantae; Streptophyta; Magnoliopsida; Fabales; Fabaceae
Exons: 2
Source: RefSeq, a predicted model, not a curated record
CAAGGUUACUGGAAAUUGCAGCAUGGAAAUGGGGCCAUUUCAAGGCUAUUUCCAAGCCAUAGCAUGAAUCAAGGGAAGGAAUGCAGCUUCUGGAAAUUGCAGCACAAAAAGGGCGCGAUUUUAGUACAAUAUUCGUGCUAUAGCGCCAUCAUGCGAGCAGCACAAAGCUUCUGGAAUUUUUGGGUUGAAAACGGUGCGAUUUCUUUGGAAAAAUGGUGCCAUAGCAUCAAUCUCAGAUUUUUAAAAAUCAAUCUCAAAACACUACGAAGAUAAGAGGUUUGUUUUCCUAAAAAGAAAAAAAAAAGACAGAAUCUUAUCAUACUUGUAUCUGAUCCAAUGUUGAAAUUUAAAAAGAACUAUCUCCUUCCCUUGUUUUCACGUAUUCUGCUUGCCCUUAUUCUGAAGUUUUCCUCUUCUCCCCUCACGCGAUUCUCUCUAGCCCUCAAGAUGGCAAACCCUUUUGGUGAUCUUGAGCAAAAAAUUCUGAAGCUCACAGUAGCGGAGCGGCUGGAGAGGAGAGUGAUGAUGAUGAGCCUCAGAGCUCAUAUUAAGGGAGUUCUUUCCCUUUCCUUUUACUGUUUUAUUUUAGCUUUCGUUGUUUCUUAUUUAGUUGAGUCUUGCAUGCUAGUUAGUUUGUGUUUUGUGGAGUCAGUUUACCCUUAUAUGCUUGUGUUGUGCACCAUGUUACUUGCAUGUCUCAAGCGGUUUCACCCUAAAUUUAGAUGCUUGUUUUGUUUGUGAAAAUUGCUGAAAAUAAGUUAUUUGGGGCGAUUCACAUGUGGGGAACUGUUUGUGUUAAGAGAAUGAGAGUUGGGUAACUUUGGGAACCUGAGUUGAGUUGCUUGGAAACACUGUUUUGAGUUCUGAUUAUGGGUACACUUACCCUUUGUUUCUGAGUGUUGAGUGAAUAUUCUGGCAUACUUGUACCUGCUUGAACCUGUCUUGAUUUUCAUCUCGGUUGAAUAUGUGCAGUUUUGUGAUUCAGAGAGAGACUUAUAGGAAUUUUUGUUGGCUUUCAAAAUUUGCUUUCAUAUUGCCCUUAGUGGCCCCUUUGAGCCUUAAUUAUUGUUUAUUUGGUGCCUUGCUUUGGUGAUUUGUUUGGUUGUUAAGUGAUCAUAGUUACUUAAAAAUUGGAAAUAGCUUAAAAAUUGCAGGCUUCUAUUCUCUCAAAAAAAGGAAAAAAAAUGAAAAGACAAAAUGUAAAAAUUUGAGGUAUGUGCCUCGGAACAAAGGGAAAGAAAAAAAUAUGAAAUAAGUAAGUAAGGUUAUAGGGGUGGUCAUCCCACUUUCUAUAUUCCCCAAUCACUUCAUUACUUUGUUCCACAUGAAGGAAAAAAAAAGGAAUAAGAGGGAUAGCCUAAAUGUGUUGAAUCUAUUGCUCCUUUGUGCAUCAUGAAAAAAGAUCACUUAACCAACAUUGGGUAGCCCUUUGAGUUGUCAAUUCUUUCAAUUCCUUACCUACAUUGCACCCUUAGCCACGUUACAACCUGAUGAGGUCUCUCCUAAUUGCCUUGCUGUCUUAUUUGAUUUUGAGUUGAAAGAUAGCCAGGUUUGAUGCACUGUACUUGUUUGUUCAUGAGCUGAGAGUUGUGUGAGCUUAUUUGUAUGGACUCUUAACUCUGUUUUCUUGCUGCUUGUAAUUCUCACUUACUGAAGUUUAUUCACUUUCUUAUCUUAGCACUUGCAUGAACUACUGUAAUGAACCCUAGGUUUUUAGACUGAAAAUUUGGCAUCUGAGUUAGGGGUGAUUAGUUAUGUGCUUGAGGACAAGCUAAUUGAGUUUACGCUUGAGGACAAGCUGUCGUUGAGUAAAGUGGUGUGUUGACCCGGAGAUAUAAGGGUAUUUUUGUGGGUCUUUUAUUUUAUUUUUAAUUUAUUUUCUGAUUUUUAAUUAGUUUUUAUGGUAUUUUUAUAUAAUUUUCGUAUUUUUAAUUAUUUUAGGAUUUUAGGAGUUUUUAUUUUGAUUUGUUAGAUUUUAGUAGUUUUUAUCUUAUCAUUAAUUAGUACUUUUCAAAUGAUAGAUUUAUCUUUCUAGGAUUUUAUUUUAAUUUUAUUUAGGAUUUUCGGAAUAAAGAGAAAAGAGAAAAUCAGAAUAAGAGAGCUGAUCCGGUGCUACUGGCCCACGGGAGCCCCCAUGCACGUGCAGGAAAUCAAUGGCUGUUGUAUCCCUUCUCGCCAUGUGACAUGAUGGUGGCAGAGGUCCACCGUAAGACAGUGAUGUGAGUUGUACUCGAUUCCACCCUAUUUGAAGCACGGACUGAAGGUGCGAAAAACACUAGAAAGGGGGGGGGGGUUUGAAUAGAGUUUUUGAGUCACGGGUAUACUUUUAAGCUUUUUCAAAACUCAAAGAUAAAAACUAAGUGCUGAAUGAUGGGAAGUGAAGCACGCAAGUAUUUUAUCCUGGUUCACUUGAGAUAAAAGCUCAAGCUAAUCCAGUCCACCUGUGAAGGUGAUUUCUUCCUUCUUCUGAUGAAGGCAAUCCACUAAAAUCAAUGAAUGUUACAACUGCACUUUGCAACCUGCUAAGUGGCUAACAUUACACUGAUUUUCACACUAGUAUCCUCUUAAGAAGCUGAUCUACCGAUCCUCUUAAGACUAGCUAAAAACUGAAUCAGCCUUGAUUCAGUCCACUUAAGAUCCGACCAACCUUGGUCUCUUAAGGAACUUUACAAUAAGAUGUAAAAGGUUUCGGGUUUACAAUGAAUGCUUCUGAAAAGCGAAUGGUAAACUCAGAUGUUUAAGAACAGUGAAGAAAUAUUGCUAAGAGAUUGGUUUGUAAGUGUUGAAUGAUUUCAGCAAAGUUUCUUAACUUCUUUCUUCUUUCUUCAGCCUUUAUAUACUCCAAGACAUGUGAUGUAGCCGUUGCUAGGGUUUUAUCCGUUGGAGUGGCAAUUCUGUAAUAUCAGACUGCUAGGCUGUACAAGGUAGGUGGCAGACAGACUGAGACUUGUACGACGUUUUACUGUGAUAGCGACCUGUCCUUUCACCAGUUGACUUGUGAUCAAACAACUUCAGAUGAACGUUGGUGAAGCUUCUGAUCAUCGUCAGAUUGAAGCUUGGAUUCUUCUGACCUUGCAACUUCUGCUUCUGAACAAGUUCCUCAUAACUUCUGAUCGUCAGAGCUAGAAUAGCUUGGGUCUUCAGAACCAACUUCUUGCGAGUCUUCAGAACUUGAGUCUUCUGCUUCUGGACCGUUCCACUGGAACAUCUGGUCUUCAGAACUUCUGACUUGAGUUCUUCAGAACUUCUUGAGAGCUUCCAUCUUCAGAGCUUCUGAGGUAUUUGCCACUGUUAAGAACGAACAUGGUAGGUUAAAGAGCUCUCUUUUUAGUAACCCUUGGUUCUUCUUCUUCUGAACGAAUAGGCUUGGGUCAGAUUCAGAACCUGUUUGUCACAACUUAAAAAGACAAACGUUAGGGUACCACAAUUGUUCAUCAUCACAAACCUUAAUUGUAAUCAUCAAAACAUAGAGAUGCAACCACUGAUCAAACCUUGAUCUUACAAUCUCCCCCUUUUUGAUGAUGACAAAACAAGUAUUUUGAUGAACAAUUUUUACACAAUAAACUGAAUACACAAGAGAGAAAAGAUCAGAGAUUAAACUUAUCCUUGUGUAACGGUUUGCAAUGCUCUUUCUGAAUCUGAGUUAACACCUGAUUCUGAGUUAGGGUCUCUCCCUGACUCCCCCUGAAUCUAUGACUUGAUGAAUUUGUGAAGAAUCUAGAUUCGGAGUCUGGUUAUGUGAUUAGAAUUUACUCUUGAAGAGAUGUAUACUCAUCAGAAGUGAUGGUUCAGAACUUAGCGUAUAUCACAUAGUAACAUAGAGUCUUGUCUAGAUAUAAUUGGAAUAAGGCGUCAGAAGCAAGAUUAGUUCAGAAUAUGACCAAAAUGUAUUCCUUAUCUGAGACGCUUGACAAUAUCUAUGUGCUACAAGUAUUUGAUACUUGUUCUCCUCUUUGGUUUUAUAUAGUAUAAAAGUUUAUCAAAACCAAUUUUAUGUACUCCCCCUUUUUGUCAUAAUCAAAAAGAGUGAAAAACAACACCAACAAUAACAAGAACAAUAACAAUAACAAAGAGGUGAUGCAAAUAAGACACGUUAUUAUUACUGAAUGGAGAAGAAGUACAAAGGAUCGAAAGGAAAGAAAAAGACUAAUCCUAGAUAAAUAGGAAGGCUCGAGAAUUCUUCAUGGAGAGAAGUUGAAGGUGGAGGGGACGAAUGUCCUGAUCAAUUGUGGCUAACUGAGUAGCCAGUUCUUCCUUCAAGGCAACGUUCUCCUGGACGGCCUCUUGAUCCGCUUCAUCGUGAUCUUCUUCAUAUUCCAGAAGCAUGCAAAUGCCCCAGAGCUGAUCUUCAACGUCCUUCCGGCGAGUGGUCAGACGGAGGAGGUCAUUCAGAACUGCUUGAAGGUUCUGAAGACAGUGAGUCUGAUGAGAAGUGAGCCAGCAUUUCAGAAGGGUCGCAAUCUUCUCAAGAGCGUGAGAGAUCUGAGAAGAAGAUAGAUUGACACUCCAUGGAAAGACUUGGUCGAAUACCAGAGUCUUGAGUUCAGAUAUCAAGGUGACAGUAGUCAUUUUGAUUUGGAAGAGAGGAGAAUAGAUAUGAAUGGAGGAGAAUGGGAUUGAAUUGUGAGGGAGAAGAUGAACGCAGUGAAUAUAAAGAAGAAAAGUAACAGAAAAGCAUGCAUAAAACUUAUCAAUCAUAAAAGCAUGUGAGUUACUAAAUGGGCGGUGCAUUGAAUCAGAAAAUAAGAAAUUAACACAGUCAACAUGAAUUAAAUUUAGUCAUAACACAUAAAUGCAUGCAUGAUAGAAGUGAGGGAUUCAAGGCUUGGAAGUGGAGGGAAGGUUGUCCAUUAGGUACUUCAUGAUUGCUUCCAUUUUUCCUGAGGACUCUUGAAUUUGCUUGCUUUGCUCAUUCUGAACACGUCCUUGUUCCUCAACCAUCUGAAAUAACCUUUGCUGAUCAUUCUGAAUUCUGUCAAUCCGGGCAGCAAGAAUUUCAACUUCUGGAGCUGGAGCAGAGGUAGGAACUUCUGGAGCUUGAGCAUGAGGAGCAACUUCAGCAUCUGAUGACAUUGCAAUAUCAACUUGAGUUGGCCCUUGCUUCUGAACUUCAUCAGCAUCUGCAUCUUCCAGAAUGACAAUGCCGUCAGAGCUUUCUUCUGCAACCUCUGCUGAAGGCAUCUCAGCAUCCUCUGAGGUACAUUCAGAGAGAACACAUGGUCUUUCAGCCAUAGCUCUUCUCAAGGGUUCACAAACCCCGUGCAGCACUCUCUGCCUUUGCUCAUAGGCCCUCUCAGAUGCAUCAUGAACUCUUAGUCUUUUCUCCCUGCUUAGUUGCUUCUGAAGAGCAUGAACUUUGCCUUCUAACCAUCUUUCAAAGGCAGACCAUAGACCAUCAACCAGAGAGGCGUCAAACUGAUUAUCAGUUACCUGAUACAGCCAGUUCAGUCUUCUGGUGGCCUCUUCAGAAAACUCCUGAAUGAGUUGAGUAAGACUCUGAGGAUGGAAGGAGGUGGCCAGAGUCAGAAUAGGCUGUGGAAUUCUGGCAGCAUUGGAGCUCGAAGCAUUGGAGCUAUCAGGUCUGAGUUGUUCUGAAGGUGUGGAAUCAAUCUCAUGGUCCUUCUCUGUGCCUGAGUGAUAUGAUUCAUCCAUGUGCUCAGCUUCAGAGAUUGUAUCUGGCCUUUGCCUUGAGGUAACAGUCUUCUCAGGUGAGGUGAAACUCAGAUCCUGUGAGUUGACUGCUGAGUAGUUGGAUAAAGACACAUAGGAGGUCUCAACAGCAUCUGGAAGCUGAUCUUCAAAAUUGGAAGCUAUUUGUUGAAGGGGCUUCACAUUGAAAGGCGGUACAAGGAUCUGAACAUCAUCAUCCUCUUUUUCUGUCUCAGCAGGAAUCUCACCAGUUUGGGUUAUGAGGAAGGUGUGUGAAGUGGAUGCAGGCUUGGGAGUGAAUUGUUGAACCAAGGUUCUCAGGGUAGCCUCACUUUGAACAAUACCUUGAAUGAAGGAAUUGAAAGGAGGUACAGGUUCAGUUGGGAUGGAUGUGGAGGAGGUGUAAAUUGGAAUUGAAGGGAUGGCUGUGGUAGCUGUUUGGAUGGUUGAUGUAGGAGCUUGAGGUUCAGCUUGUGUUUCAGGUUGAGUGGGUGCUGUUUGGGUUGAGGUAGGCAUGGAGGUAGAUAUAGGCAGGGGUUGUUCAGGUAUUACUACUAAAGCAGAAUCAGAGUUAAUGCUUUCAGUAAUUACCUUACUUGGACUUCUGAUGGAUGUGGUUCUGGCGAGUUGUGCAGCCCUGGCAGGAUCAGAAGUGCGUUUUGAUCUUCUUUCCCUUUGUGCUUCUGAAGCAGGGUCAGAUGCCUGCUGUGAUUUUGCCUCUUUCUGCUGAAGUGGACCUUUCAGAGGCAGUUUCCUUCUCCUGACCAAGUGUACUUCGUCAGAGUCUGUGGAUUCUUCAGCUUCUGAGGAUUCCCUUAUACCCUGAAGCACAUUCUGGAUGAUCUCAUGGUCAUCCUGCUCAUCUUCUUCCUCAAGAAUAACUUUUCUCCUCUUGGCAAGAGGAACAUCAUCAUCUUCAGUUUCCUCACUUGAGGAGUCUUCCCAUGAGUCCUCAGAACUUUCAGAUUCAGAUACUUGACGUGAUUGAACUGAGGUUCUCUUAGAAGGUCUCUCAGGAGAGGAUUCCCUGAUGACCACAGUCUUGGAUGCAGCUUUCUUCUUUGUAGGUUCCUCUGUCAGAAUCCCUUUGCCCUUAGGAUCUGAAGGCUUGCUGCUUGUUGCCCUCCUUGAUUUCCUUGUUGCCAACUUAGGAGGACUUUCAGGAAGUGUAUUGACAAAUUCUGCAAGAGUGAUAGGAUCUCCUUGUCUUCUGAGCAUCCUUACAUAUUCAAGAAUGCAAGCUGGAUUGUCCUUCUUGGACCAAAGAGGAAAAUCAUCAAUAGGAUAGUUCCUCUGACGAACUUCAUCAGAAGUGUCUUCUCUGGGAGCAACUUGGACUUUUCAAUGAUCUGCAUUUUCUUCAACUUUGUACCAAUGAGAGCAUCGCCGAUAGUCAUGGCCAGAUCUUCAUGAAGUCCAAUGUCUGAUAGGGUCUUGACAAGCUUAUUCUGGACGAAGAUAUCUGACAGCAGCCUUCCAUACGGAAUGUAAGAAAUGAACCUCUUGUUCUCAGAACCAGUUGUGGUCCUUGAUUUCUUAACACAUUCCUUCAGAUAAUUGAAGAGCAGGAAUGGCAGACAGAUAAGUUCACCUAUAGAGAUGUAGUACAUGAUUACCUUCUGAGUUGCAUUCAGGUAAUCAGUUCCUCCAGUUCUGGGGUGAAUGCAGUGAAUGAAGAUCUUCUGCCAAAUCUUCAUCUGAGACUUCAAGUCUUUAAUGUUAUACUUGGUUUUCUCGUAAGACCAGUUAUCAUAAAGCGCCUUGUUGACCACGGUCCUCAUCCCAGUAACAUUUGCAUCAACAUUUUUAACCCUUUUUCCUUGCUGGAACUCCAUACCCAGCAGCUUUGCAAUAGAUUCUUCAGAGAUCACAAUUUUCUUGUCCAGCACAUGAGAGACGACGAAGUAGUCGUUGCAGACUGCAUUCUUCCAGAACUCGACAACCAACUUGUGAUAGAUCGGACCACAGAGCCUGUUGAAGUAGCCAGACCAACCUUGCAAAUUGACUUGGUCUCUAAUGUCAAACCCAUGUUGAGCCAGAUUGUCAAAAUCAACUCUUGCUUCACAGCACACAUUCAGUUCUUCCACUUUCUUGGCACAAGUGACUACAUUUGGUGCAUUCAGAAUCUUCUGUGCUUCUUCAAAUCUUUGAUUCUCUUGAUCUUCAGCGGUUUGUUUGGAAGAAGCAGAAACAUUUACCUUGGGUUUCCUCGAUUUGCCCAUGAUUUUCAGAGAAUGAGGUUUAGGGUUCAGAGAGAAAGGGGAAAUGUUGGAGGGAGGAGUAUGAAUGAAUGCAAUGCACACGAAUAGUUUUAAAACCGUAAGUGUAAGUGAGUGGGAUAUCGUGUGUGACAGUGCAUAUAGUGGGUUUAAUGGUAACCGUUGACAGUUUUAAGAAAUUAAAGGCAAGAUCAACGGUUAUAAAAUAGAUAGUCUGAAAAUAGCGUAGUAGAGGAGAGUAGACAUCAUCAUUAUAGCAGAUAUACCACGCAACUCAAGGAACUAUGUCUCAAAUGAAGUGACAUGUGUAUUGUUGCUAGCCACAGAAGUUUAACCGGUGGGUUAAGUGCUUCUGAUCGAGUAACUUCUGUAGGAGGUGACAUCUGAUGACUUCAGAGGUACCAUGGUCAGAAGUUCUGAAGAAAACCUUACUCUGGACAAAAAUCCAUGUUCAAGUUUUCAAGAAUAAAUAAAAACCUAUCUUCUGCUAAGGGCUUAGUGAAAAUAUCUGCCCACUGAUGGUCAGCAUCAACAUACUCUAAUGAUAGAGUGCCCUUCUGAACAUGAUCACGAAUAUAAUGAUACUUUACCUCUAUAUGCUUUGCUCUUGAGUGUAGAAUAGGGUUCUUGCUGAGUGAGAUAGCAGCUGUGUUGUCACAAUAAAUAGGAACCUUCUUCAGAGACAAACCAUAAUCUUCCAGAUGAUUCUUCAUCCAUAUGGUUUGUGUACAGCAUGUGGCAGCUGAGACAUAUUCUGCUUCAGCAGUUGAUAGAGCAAUUGUGUUCUGUCUUUUACUUGACCAUGUGACAAGAUUAGAUCCAAGGAAAUGGCAGCUUCCAGAAGUGCUUUUCCUUUCCACUCUAUCUCCAGCAAAGUCAGCAUCACAAAAACCUGAAAGUGUAUACUCUGAUGUUUUUCUAUACAUCAAGCCAAGGUUAGUGGUUCCUUUCAGAUAUUUGAGGAUUCUCUUAACAGCAGUUAAGUGAGUCUCUCUAGAAUCUGAUUGGAAUCUAGCACAGAGAUGCACACUAAACAAUAUAUCAGGUCUAGAGGCAGUUAAGUAGAGAAGAGAGCCUAUCAUUCCACGAUAGAGCUUCUGAUAAACCUUAGAGGAAACUUCCUCUUUCUCAAGAAUGCAUGUUGGAUGCAUUGGAGUCUUUGAGAUGUUGCAGUCACUCAUGUUGAACUUCUUCAGAAGUUCCAGGGUGUACUUCUUCUGAUGGAUAUAGGUGACUCCUGGUCGUUGAUCUAUUUGAAUUCCCAGGAAAUAUUUAAGUUCUCUCAUCAUGCUCAUUUCAAAUUCAGCCUGCAUUAACUUAGAGAAUUCCUUGCACAAGGAGGGAUUAGCAGAACCAAAAAUGAUAUCAUCAACAUAAAUCUGAACUAUAAGAAUGUCAUUCUUAUAGGUUCUGCAGAAAAGAGUAUUAUCACCUUUACCCCUUACAAACUCAUUCUGAAGAAGAAAGGAGCUGAGCCUUUCGUACCACGCUCUGGGAGCUUGUUUCAAUCCAUAGAGUGGCUUCUUGAGCUUGUAGACAUGAUCUGGAAAUUUUUCAUCCUCAAAGCCAGGAGGCUGCUUGACAUACACUUCUUCUGAAAUGUAGCCAUUGAGGAAGGCACUCUUGACGUCCAUCUGAUGGAGAAUGAUGUUGUGAUUUACUGAGAAGGAAAUCAGUAGCCUUAUAGCUUCAAGCCUUGCUACAGGAGCAAAGGUCUCAGUGUAAUCAAUUCCCUCUUGUUGACUGUAGCCUUAAGCCACCAGUCUUGCCUUGUUUCUUGUUACUUCUCCUUUUUCAUUCAGCUUGUUUCUGAAUACCCACUUGGUUCCUAUGACAUGGAAACCUUUGGGUUUAGGCAUUAAGGUCCAUACAUCAUUCUUGGUGAACUGAUCUAGCUCUUCUUGCAUUGCCAGAAUCCAGCCUUUGUCUUCAAGAGCUUCAUCAACUGAUUUGGGCUCAAUGAGAGAAACAAGUCCCUUCAGACUCAGAAGAGUCUCUUCUGAAGGUUUGAGCAUUGACCUGGUUCUGACUGGAGCAUCUUUGUUGCCAAUGAUCAGUUCUUCUGGAUGAGAAGCAACUAUUCUUUUCUUCUUCUGAAGUUGAUCAGAAGUUGUUGGAGCAUCUUCAGAUGCUUCUGCCUCUGGAGCAACAUCCUCUUGGCUUUUCGUUGGUUGAUUUGCUUCUGAACAAUCAAUGCUUAAAUCUGCAAAUCUUUCAAACAACUUUGACUUUUCUGAGCCAAGCUUAUCAUCAAAUCUAAUCUGGAUAGAUUCCUCAACAGUUUGAUGAAUAAUAUUAUAAAUUCUAAAACCUUUAGAUCUUUCAGAAUAACCAAGAAAAUAACAUUUUAAAGCUUUAGAAUCGAAUUUACCCAAUUGCUCCUUGGUGUUGAGCAUGUAGCAACAGCUUCCAAAAGGAUGGAAGUAAGAGAUGUCAGGUUGUCUUCCUUUGCAUAGCUCAUAAGGAGUCUUCUCCAUAAUUGGUCUAAUGGAGAUUCUGUUCUGGAUGUAGCAUGCAGUGUUGAUUGCUUCUGCCCAGAAGUAUUUGGCCAUACUUGAUUCUUGCAUCAUGGUGCGAGCCAUCUCCUGAAGAGUUAUGUUCUUUCUUUCAACAACUCCAUUUUGUUGAGGAGUACGAGGACAGGAGAAGUUAUGAGAGAUUCCUUGGGAGUUGAAUAAUUCUUCAAAAGCUUUGUUCUCAAAUUCUCCACCAUGGUCACUUCUGACAGUAAUCACAGAAGAUUGAAACUCCUUCUGAACUAGGGUAAUGAAGUUGGUAAACACAGUGUGUGUUUCAUCUUUGUGCCUUAGGAACUUUACCCAUGUCCACCUGUUGUAGUCAUCUACAAUGACUAACCCAUACUUCUUUCCUCCAAUGGAUUCAGUCUUCACUGGUCCAAAAAGAUCAAUGUGAAGUAGCUCAAGGGGUCUUGUUGUAGAUACCACAUUCUUUGCUUUAAAUGACUUCUUGGUGAAUUUUCCCUUCUAACAAGCUUCACAUAGAGCCUCUGAUGAGUACUUCAGACGAGGCAAUCCUCUGACGAGAUUUAGCUUGCUAAGUUGAGAGAUUUUUCUGAGACUGGCAUGUCCUAGACGUCUGUGCCAGAUCCAUUGCUCAUCAUUAACUGACAUGAGACACUUGACCUUCUGAGAUAGCAGUUCAGAAGAUCUGAUUUUGUAAAUAUCGUUUUUCCUCUUCCCAGAAAACAAAACAGAUCCAUCUGUUUGACUAACAACUUUGCAUCCGGUUUGAUUGAAGAUCACAUCGUAACCUUUGUUAGCAAUUUGGAUUAUGGAGAGCAGGUUGUGAAAUAAUCCUUCCACCAGAAGUACAUCAUUGAUGACUGGAAUUUUUCCAUCUCCUAUGGAACCUUUUCCAACAAUUUUUCCCUUCUGGUUUCCUCCAAAGCCAACAUCUCCUCCUGACUUAAGCGGUGUCAGUUCUUGGAAUAUAGACCUUGUGCCCGUCAUGUGUCGCGAGCAUCCACUGUUCAGGUACCAUGACAGGUGUCUUAACUGAGCUGCAUAAGAUGUCUGCAACAGGAAUAAUUUUUGCUUUAGGUACCCACAUCUUGGGUACUUUCUUGUUAGUUUUCCCAGAAGUUCUUGGAACUUUGGGUGCAAUAGGAGGAUAAUGCAGAGGAACUUGAGUAUAAUAUCUAGACAUAUCAAGUUUAAACUUUCCCUUUGGUUUCACCAUCUUUGGUGUAACCUUUUCUGGAAUGACAGUGCCAGCGGGAACGAAAUGCUUAUGCAAAGGUUCGCGUUUGGGCUCAGAUGACUCAUCUUUCAUGGAUUGAAAGUAGCCAAGGCCACUGUUCCCAUUUCUGCUCAUGCCAUAGAUCAUUGAAGCCAUAAGACUUCUGUCUAUGCCCUUUGCAAGGAACUUUUGAAACGCUUUCUCAUAUUUUGUCUCAUACUUAACAUCAGAUGAUGCAAGUUGGUCUUCUAGCACAUCAUUUUUAGCACGAAGAACAACAUUGUCAUUAACAAGAAUAUAGUUUUCAUCAAUGAGUUCAGAGACUGACUUCUCAUGAACUUCUGAAGAACUGGUUUUAACAGCAUAUUUCUUUUUAAGCUCUUUAUGCUUAUUUAGCAGAAUAUCAUGUUUCUUCAUUAUUUCAGAUAAAGCAGUUCUUAGCUCAGAUAGAGAAAAAUCAGAGAAUACCUCAUCAUCAUUCUCAGAGUCUGAAUCAUCUUCUGAAGCUUCAGCACCUCUGCUAGUGGUAGCCAUUAGAGCCUCCACAGCUUCAUCUUCUUCUGACUCAGCUUCAUCAGAAUCAGUUGCAUCAAAGGUUAUGAGGGCUUUCUUCGUGAAGACUUUUCUUGGUCUCUUGAAUUGAAAGUCUAGGGCGUGUGAGUUAUCAACAUCUUAGAACAUAGGCUAAAUCGUCGUAGAGGAGUUUAUUAAAUUCAUAUGAACAUUGUUAGAAUAAAGGCAUAUGCCGAAUAGGUGAAACAGGACCCAAGUACUAUCUUUCUCAUCUGAUUUCAUAAACUCUUUGAUUUUCGCUUUUACUUUUUAUUAGUGAUUGUUACAAUCUUUAAAAUCCCUAAAAUUGGUUUUUAUUUUCAUAAUCUAAAUACUAGAAGUUAAUAUAACUAUUAUUGAAUCACAAUUCUCGAGGGAUCGAUAAUUUAUUACUACGGGCAACUUUGUACACUUGCAAAGGAGCUAUCAAUAAGCGUAAUGGUUAACUACUUCAUGUGAACUAUUUUUCAGGAAAUAACCUUUAUGACUCACAUCCUUCAUCAUUUGAUAUCCAAAGCACAAGACAAUACAAGAAGAUGUUUCACUGAAGUGACGAAAGGCCAAGGCUACAAGGCAGACAGUACAAGCAAAGAAUAGUCAAUACUGCUAGAUCGUCUAACCAAAGGAAAAAGAAGAAUGAUGAAGAUACAAGACAGUCUGCGCAAGUAAAGUCAAAGCAUCAAGACUGUCUUCAGAAUAAGAUUCAAAGCUUCAGGACAACUGAUGCAAGAUCAAUCAAAGUUAUCAGAUCGUGUGAGAAGACUACACUCAACGUCUAUCUCAAAGCCGAUAAGUGGAAGCAAUGUCUAGAGAAUGAGCGCCAAAUUCAAAAUUGAAAUCUCUCUAACAUUCUUGAGGAGAAAGUCAAGUGUAAGGAAUCAUGUGAUACUUCACAAAGCACAUUGAUCAAGGAAACAAGUACAACGAUGUCACUAUAAAAGUUUCCUCUUUCUCUCUCUCACUCAGGAAAUGGAGAAAUGGAAUCAAGCUUAUUGUCUAUGCCUACUAGCAUCUAUCUUAUUCAAGACAAUUCAUCUCCAAAGAAGAAGAACUAAGUGAUUGGUCAAAGGUUAUCAUUCAAAUUGUAAUUGACCAAUAUGAAGAUUGAAUGAAGAAUUAGUGAAGUAGAAAAAUCGUGUGAAUGAAGCAAAGUCUAUCAUAGAAGAAAAGUUGCAAUAUCUAAAGAACGAUUUUUGCA